RNAcentral lists this transfer RNA (72 nucleotides) under Chloroflexota bacterium. Its description in RNAcentral is "Chloroflexi bacterium tRNA-Met". It matches the Rfam family "tRNA". From Rfam's summary of the family: Transfer RNA (tRNA) molecules are approximately 80 nucleotides in length. Their secondary structure includes four short double-helical elements and three loops (D, anti-codon, and T loops). Lineage: Bacteria; Bacillati; Chloroflexota. The record is from RNAcentral.
GAGCCUGUAGUUUAAUGGUAAAACACUCCGCUCAUAACGGAUGUGUUGUUGGUUCGAGCCCAACCGGGCCCA